ACCUUCGUAGCUCAGUCGGUAGAGCAUCAGACUUUUAAUCUGAGGUUUUAGGGUUCGAGUCCCUACGUCGGCU
RNAcentral lists this transfer RNA (73 nucleotides) under Gigantopelta aegis. RNAcentral describes it as "tRNA-Lys". It matches the Rfam family "tRNA". Rfam says of the family: Transfer RNA (tRNA) molecules are approximately 80 nucleotides in length. Their secondary structure includes four short double-helical elements and three loops (D, anti-codon, and T loops). Further hydrogen bonds mediate the characteristic L-shaped molecular structure. tRNAs have two regions of fundamental functional importance: the anti-codon, which is responsible for specific mRNA codon recognition, and the 3' end, to which the tRNAs corresponding amino acid is attached (by aminoacyl-tRNA synthetases). tRNAs cope with the degeneracy of the genetic code in two manners: having more than one tRNA (with a specific anti-codon) for a particular amino acid; and 'wobble' base-pairing, i.e. permitting non-standard base-pairing at the 3rd anti-codon position. The record is from RNAcentral. Lineage: Eukaryota; Metazoa; Mollusca; Gastropoda; Neomphalida; Peltospiridae.